GGCGGGAUAGCUCAGCCGGUUAGAGCGCAGGAUUCAUAAUCCUGAGGUCGAGAGUUCGAGUCUCUCUCCCGCUACUA
This 77-nucleotide transfer RNA is filed under the name Crocinitomicaceae bacterium TMED209. Its description in RNAcentral is "tRNA-Met". It matches the Rfam family "tRNA". Rfam says of the family: Transfer RNA (tRNA) molecules are approximately 80 nucleotides in length. Their secondary structure includes four short double-helical elements and three loops (D, anti-codon, and T loops). Lineage: Bacteria; Pseudomonadati; Bacteroidota; Flavobacteriia; Flavobacteriales; Crocinitomicaceae. The record is from RNAcentral.